Molecule: long non-coding RNA, 1604 nt
Organism: Diceros bicornis minor
Lineage: Eukaryota; Metazoa; Chordata; Mammalia; Perissodactyla; Rhinocerotidae
Exons: 3
Source: RefSeq, a predicted model, not a curated record
GAACUUCAAUGGCGUCUGUGUCAGCAUGCCCACACCAGGCCACAACAAUGGCCGCAGCCAAUGUCCCAGUCCCUGGAGAGGUCUCACCCCUCACCGAGAUGCACUCAGGGCCUAUUAGGCAAAGCUGAAUCUACCUGAUGAACAACCAAACUGAAAUUACUGAUGUGAGGAAAUGACUCAUGGGAGAAACAAGUAAAUGGAAAACAAAAUAAAAUAAAGGAAAACACUGAGCUUAAACUGUUUGGAGAAAUGGAGAAGCUUUAUUCCUUCUACUUGGUUCAUGAUUGGAAGAGGCUUGGAGAAUGGCUAAACAGUUUCCCUAGGGUUGGCAGAAGCUAAAGGAGAAGCCUCUGGUCCAGGGGGCUGAAGCCUCUAGGCCGGGGGUAGAACCUCAAAGAAAAUCCUCCAGGCCAGGAGGCUUCCCCACUGAGAAGACCCAAACCAGAGGCCUCUUGCCAUUCUUGACAAUGAGUCUCUCAUGGGGUAAUCGCCCAGGGAAGAUGUGCAGGCUGGUCAAGUGGUCACCAUCUUCUUGAAGAUUUCCACAUGCUCACACAUCCAGGAAGUGACUCCCCGGGGAUUCACACAGAAGAGCUUACAUAGGCAGAGUAAGGCUUUAUUCAGAUUCUUCUCAAAGACUUGGAGGCUUCUAUGGCAUCCAGGUUAUCCCACUCACCACGGGAUGGUGUACGAACCUCUUAGAAGAUGAUACAACUGCUGUGCAUAUUUUGGAGAUUUAGGAAACACUCUAACUUCUUUUUUUGCGGAGGAAGAUCAGCCCUGAGCUAACAUCCGAUGCCAAUCCUCCUCUUUUUUUUUUUUUUUGCUGAGGCAGAUGGGCCCUGACCUAACAUCCGUGCCCUCUAACUUCAUUUUUGCCUGCUCACAAGUAUCUGCAGUCCUCCAGGAAUGAGGUUGAAAUAGUAACUUAGGGAGAAGAAGAUACAGGAGGCCUUCGGGCUUUCAGGCAAGCACGUUGCAUAAGAGUUUCACUCCCAGGUAAAUCUAACAGUAUUCUGAAGCCAAGCUCAGUCAACUUUCUCGUCUGGAUUUAGAGAAUCAGAGUCCUCCAUAAAACAAGGAUGCACAUAAAUUGAGGUCCUAGCUUAAAGUCCUAUUUCAAGUAGGCUACUGGGCUAACUGGAAUUCUUCUAUACUUGUUGGUGUAAGGGGGUGUUGCAAAAUCUUUCUAGCUAAUCACAUUUCUUGAACACAUUCAUUUUAUCAAUGAAAAUUAUUACUAACUUACCUUAUGCUAAUUAAUGGAUGUGCUAAGGGUAGAUUUUGAUGAAUUUGAAGCACUUGUAUAGCUACCACUGAAUGCAGAUUCUGAGUGAAGAUACUUCCAAAGAUAGGUAACCUUCCUCUCCCUCCCCAGUGUAAUUUAUAUGCCCUAUUUAUGUAUUUUAAAGUAAAGUGCCAGACUGACAAAAUUACAUUGGGUAUAUGACACACAGAAGACAUUCAGCCAAACUAACAAAGUUUAUUCUGAGGUAGGGCUUUGAUCCUAGACCACUCUCUAGUUUCCUGAUCUGGAUUAGUUGUCUUUUUCCCCAUUAGUUUAAGUACUUAAGUAGUUGCAGGCCUAAUGAUCUCUUUGACCC